GAUGAACGCUGGCGGCGUGCCUAAUACAUGCAAGUCGAGCGAACAGAUGAGGAGCUUGCUCCUCAGACGUUAGCGGCGGACGGGUGAGUAACACGUGGAUAACCUACCUAUAAGACUGGGAUAACUUCGGGAAACCGGAGCUAAUACCGGAUAAUAUAUUGAACCGCAUGGUUCAAUAGUGAAAGACGGUUUUGCUGUCACUUAUAGAUGGAUCCGCGCCGCAUUAGCUAGUUGGUAAGGUAACGGCUUACCAAGGCAACGAUGCGUAGCCGACCUGAGAGGGUGAUCGGCCACACUGGAACUGAGACACGGUCCAGACUCCUACGGGAGGCAGCAGUAGGGAAUCUUCCGCAAUGGGCGAAAGCCUGACGGAGCAACGCCGCGUGAGUGAUGAAGGUCUUCGGAUCGUAAAACUCUGUUAUUAGGGAAGAACAAAUGUGUAAGUAACUAUGCACGUCUUGACGGUACCUGAUCAGAAAGCCACGGCUAACUACGUG
This 497-nucleotide ribosomal RNA is filed under the name uncultured bacterium. RNAcentral's name for it is "partial 16S ribosomal RNA". It matches the Rfam family "Bacterial small subunit ribosomal RNA", at positions 28 to 507 of the family's 1533-position model. The record is from RNAcentral.